This 589-nucleotide ribosomal RNA is filed under the name uncultured bacterium. RNAcentral's name for it is "bacterial SSU rRNA". It matches the Rfam family "Bacterial small subunit ribosomal RNA", at positions 912 to 1510 of the family's 1533-position model. The record is from RNAcentral.
GACGGGGGCCCGCACAAGCGGAGGAACAUGUGGUUUAAUUCGAUGAUACGCGAGGAACCUUACCCGGGCUUGAACUGCAGCCGAACGAUAGAGAGAUCUUGAGGCCCUUCGGGGCGGCUGUGGAGGUGCUGCAUGGUUGUCGUCAGCUCGUGCCGUGAGGUGUCGGCUUAAGUGCCAUAACGAGCGCAACCCUUUUCAUUAGUUGCCAUCAGGUCAUGCUGGGCACUCUGAUGAUACUGCCACCGUAAGGUGUGAGGAAGGUGGGGAUGACGUCAAAUCAGCACGGCCCUUACGUCCGGGGCUACACACGUGUUACAAUGGGUGGUACAGAGAGUCGGUCGUCUGCAAAUGCGAUCCAAUCCUUAAAGCCAUCCUCAGUUCGGAUUGGGGUCUGCAACCCGACCCCAUGAAGCUGGAUUCGCUAGUAAUCGCGCAUCAGCCAUGGCGCGGUGAAUACGUUCCCGGGCCUUGUACACACCGCCCGUCAAGCCAUGAAAGCCGGGGGCGCUUGAAGUCCGUGACCGCAAGGAUCGGCCUAGAGCGAAACUGGUAAUUGGGGCUAAGUCGUAACAAGGUAGGCGUACCGAAG